AUGCGAAUGGGUCUAGAUACGCCAAAUGGUAAUGGAAAUGGGAUGUGGCGAAAGCAGUAGAUCAGUUUCCAUCUCAUCGCCGCUUCAAUCGGUACUGUCCAGGACUCUCUCUACACCGACUUGACAAGUGUCUGAAUCACUGGGCGCUGCAGUCGGGAUGACAUAUGGAGGCAGGGAGACCCAGCGACACGCAGCCGACAAUCGAUUAAUCAGCGAAAAAUAAUAAGAAACACGUUCGUUCCUCCCCGCCGAAAAUCCUGACCCCCGUCUCCCCAGAGAUCCCGUAGAUGGAGAUGCAACUGCAGUCGAGAAUUGGAAUCGGAAUCCCUGAAUGCGGAACUGAUGUCGCUCGAGCACUCAAAAAAUGGGAAACUCCAACAUUUCGGGCAGACCAAUAAAUAAAAAGCAGCACCAUCCAAGGCAGAGCUAUGACAAAAAUUUUUAGAUGAAUAAAACUUUGGGUCGAGUUGGCUCUACUGAUGUAUUUUUACUGGGCGGGGGAUAG
Drosophila melanogaster (fruit fly) is the source of this 505-nucleotide non-coding RNA. NCBI's taxonomy places the organism in Eukaryota, Metazoa, Arthropoda, Insecta, Diptera, Drosophilidae. The record is from Ensembl.